This 1908-nucleotide long non-coding RNA is filed under the name Homo sapiens (human). RNAcentral's name for it is "HSALNT0336681". Lineage: Eukaryota; Metazoa; Chordata; Mammalia; Primates; Hominidae. The record is from RNAcentral.
ACUCGCUCGGUGCACACGCCGCGCCGCGGGCAGUGCCGCCUGCGGAGGCGCGCUCGGGGCCCGCAGGGGCAGCAGCGGCAGCCUGGCAGCGCCGCCGCGCCCUCGGGCAUCUGGCCCGCGAAGUUUCGCCCCUGCCGCUCUCCGCGCCGCUCGCCUCACGCCCCCCAGCGCGGCCGCCGCCCGACGCGCGCUCGCCCUGCGCUCGCCGCGCGCCGGCUCCGGGGGCGGCAGAAGCGCGCGAGGGCCGCUGCCCGCCUCCCUGCGCAGCCCGCGGCUCCUAGGCACCCUGCGUUGCUGGGCCCGGCGGGCGGGGGUGGGGCGGGGAGCGGGGCGCGGGCCGAGCGGGGGCGUCCCGGCUCCGCGGUCCCCGGCGGCUGCUGCAGCGGCUGCUGCGCGCAAUGAUGCGGGUCCGCGCCGCGUCCCAGCAGCGGCGCUGCCCCUCCCUUCGCCCAGAUGUGUGAAUCCUCCUCCUACAACAAAUCCUUCAUCCUGCUCCCUGCCGCCCCCUCCCAGGGGGCCAACUUUGAGGACCGCAGGGGCUGCCGCCCAGGCGGCCGCAGGCGGCGGUGUCUAGGCGGAAAGGAGCGGCGCGAAAGCGGCGGCGGCGGGGACCGGGGCCUCGGGGCGAGGAGUCUGGGCGGCAUGACCGCGGUUUGCUGAGCUGAAGUCGGUCGUGCUCCCAGAGCCACUCCGCGGGAGCGAACCGAGUGUGUGUGUGCGCGCGCGCUCGGGGGAGAAGGGACCAAGAGGAGGGUUAGGGAAGGAAGCUGGGGUCAUGGAACAGGGGUGCAACCGAGGCAUCCAGAGCGGCCGGAAAGCCCGAGUGGCGGAGAGGCCAGAGGUGGCGAGAAGGGGCGCGGCGGCACCGGACGCACCGCCCAGCACCUGGCUCCCCUGGGCUCCCGAGGAUCUGAAGGGUCGGAGCGCGGAGAGCUACGGAGCCGACCCUGCUUGGGGAAGGGGACCGAGUUGCUGCUGGAGUUGGGAAAAAUUAGCAACCGGAGGGAAUAGGGAUGCAAUGAGUUGCUGUUGCUGCUUCAAACUGUUGUUUGUUUUCACUUAAAAUACUAAAGAGUCGGAGACUAGUUUAAUACUCAGUUACUUCAGCUUCACAGCAGUCCCAGCUGGGUGUGGAUUCCUAGUGGAGAUGCACCAGCCUCCGCUGAGCACCGGCCUGAAAGCUGUGAAGCGGCUGCUACCUGCAGAGACAGGCUUCGGAGCCCGCUGCUGCCACCUGCGGGCGGAAAGCUGAAGGGCGCAACAUGCUGGCCCAAGUGGCUGCCCCUGGGGCGUGGAUAUUUAGGACCAAGUUUCCUUUUUAGCCCUGGCAGCUAAGGAAAGCAAUCCUAACUUUUCCAGGAAGUGAAGAUUAUUUGUUGAGAUCCACUGAGGAACUGACUCAUUGGGGUGAAGUGUCGCGAUUGAUAAGAGGAUGGUUUAGGGAGCUAAAUAGCAAACAGCUCCCUAGCACCCUUCUUAAGAGAUUAAGAUGACGAAGCCACAUCAAGCAGAGAGCUCUCUGUAGCAACUGGAACUUGGCGCCUACUGAGAAAAAUGGCAUUUAUACAGGAUAAAGUUAUGCUGGGAACCACAAAUAAGGAUCCCGAAUGAUUGCUUCCUUUGAAUAAACAUUAUGACGUAUCAGAAUGACUAAAUACAAAUAAAUUGAAUAGGGCAGAGAGACUAUUCUCCAGAGCCUGGCACUGAAUUUUCAGAAACGUUUCGUCAGUCCUAGGGAGCCAAAAAGGGAUUAACUUUGUUAAAUUUAUGGAGCACAGAUAUUUUAUUGCUAUAAUGAGAAUGUCUGGUUUUAAUCGACCCAUUUGUAAAGGGGCUUUUCUUCUGAAAAGUGUCUUUCAAUGUUUAAUAAAAUUCCCAAGAGCCCAAUAUGUGCUCUUAGGCACUGCA